Molecule: long non-coding RNA, 241 nt
Organism: Perca flavescens (yellow perch)
Lineage: Eukaryota; Metazoa; Chordata; Actinopteri; Perciformes; Percidae
Exons: 3
Source: RefSeq, a predicted model, not a curated record
UUUACAUAUUAUUUCCUCCAAUGAGAGCACCUCCAACGGCCGACAAACCUCAAACAAAGAAGGACAAAAUGGAUCCUGUUGGAGCAGUGCACACCGAAAAGAAGACAGAGAAGCAAGCUUCGUCCCUGAAACCAACCGAAUCCUCCAAAACCUCCAAGCCCGAUGGUCUGACAGUUACCUCCAUUAAAGAAGUCAAGUCAUUUUGUGACAAGACAGAAGUGACUGUCAAUGGAAAAGUUAC